CAGCCGCCACGGUAAUACAGAGGGUGCAAGCGUUAAUCGGAAUUACUGGGCGUAAAGCGCGCGUAGGUGGUUCGCCAAGUUGGAUGUGAAAUCCCCGGGCUCAACCUGGGAACUGCAUCCAAAACUGGCGAGCUAGAGUAUGGUAGAGGGUGGUGGAAUUUCCUGUGUAGCGGUGAAAUGCGUAGAUAUAGGAAGGAACAUCAGUGGCGAAGGCGACCACCUGGACUGAUACUGACACUGAGGUGCGAAAGCGUGGGGAGCAAACAGGAUUAGAGACCCCUGUAGUCCCUGUCUCUUAUAC
RNAcentral lists this ribosomal RNA (301 nucleotides) under uncultured bacterium. RNAcentral describes it as "partial 16S ribosomal RNA". It matches the Rfam family "Bacterial small subunit ribosomal RNA", at positions 509 to 807 of the family's 1533-position model. The record is from RNAcentral.